GUAAUAAAUCAGAGAUUUAGAACAUAUGGUAGAUGAUAAAGCUUUUCAACCAUAGUUGCAGCGGAAUGAGCAAUCCAUUAGAAGAGUCAAAUAGACUAUAAAGUCUAUUAUCUUCUCCAUGUUAAAAGUCCACCAACAAUGUUUUAUCCCUGUAACAUCAAUCAAUAAUUCCUGUCCACAAUCACAUGUAUAACUCAUAAUCGUAAUUGUUGUUCCAAAUUCCUUUUCUCAUCCAGGACAAAGAUAAUUUUCAUCACCUGAAACAUCAAAGAUCAUGGUUAUACCAAAUCACAGUUCAUGUUCAUAAUCAUACUAAUAAAUUCAUCUUUGCACUAC
RNAcentral lists this long non-coding RNA (336 nucleotides) under Panax ginseng (ginseng). RNAcentral describes it as "long non-coding RNA (PGIN_LNC005406)". The record is from RNAcentral. Lineage: Eukaryota; Viridiplantae; Streptophyta; Magnoliopsida; Apiales; Araliaceae.